RNAcentral lists this ribosomal RNA (465 nucleotides) under uncultured bacterium. RNAcentral describes it as "partial 16S ribosomal RNA". It matches the Rfam family "Bacterial small subunit ribosomal RNA", at positions 338 to 795 of the family's 1533-position model. The record is from RNAcentral.
CCUACGGGUGGCAGCAGUGGGGAAUAUUGCGCAAUGGGCGAAAGCCUGACGCAGCGACGCCGCGUGAGGGAUGAAGGUCUUCGGAUCGUAAACCUCUGUCAGCAGGGAAGAACGGUCACUGUGCUAAUCAGCAGUGAAUUGACGGUACCUGCAAAGGACGCACCGGCUAACUCCGUGCCAGCAGCCGCGGUAAUACGGAGGGUGCGAGCGUUAAUCGGAAUAACGGGGCGUAAAGGGCUAGUAGGCGGGAAGUCAAGUCAAGGGUGAAAUCCCCGCGCUCAACGUGGGAACUGCCUUUGAAACGGGCAAACUUGAGUGUAGGAGAGGAUAGUGGAAUUCCAGGUGUAGGAGUGAAAUCCGUAGAUAUCUGGAGGAACAUCAGUGGCGAAGGCGACUAUCUGGCACAUAACUGACGCUGAGGAGCGAAAGCGUGGGUAGCAAACAGGAUUAGAUACCCCAGUAGUC